Molecule: ribosomal RNA, 484 nt
Filed under: uncultured bacterium
Lineage: Bacteria
Description: SSU rRNA
Rfam family: Bacterial small subunit ribosomal RNA
Source: RNAcentral
AGGACGAACGCUAGCGGCGUGUCUGAAACAUGCAAGUCGAACGGGGUUCAGCAAUGAGUUCAGUGGCGAACGGGUGCGUAACACGUAAAGAACCUGCCCUUCAGCGGGGGAUAGCCCUGGGAAACCGGGGGUAAUACCGCAUGAGACCUUAACUUCGCAUGAAGAAAAGGAGAAAGGGAUCAGACGAUAGUUUGAUUUCACUGGAGGAGGGCUUUGCGGCCUAUCAGGUAGUUGGGAGGGUAACGGCCUACCAAGCCUAAGACGGGUAGCUGGUCUGAGAGGAUGGUCAGCCACACUGGGACUGAGAUACGGCCCAGACUCCUACGGGGGGCAGCAGUUUAGAAUAUUGUGCAAUGGGCGAAAGCCUGACACAGCGACGCCGCGUGGGUGACGAAGGCCUUAGGGUCGUAAAGCCCUGUUGGUAGGGAUGAGAAGGGACAGUACCUACCGAGGAAGCCCCGGCUAACUACGCGCCAGCAGCCGC